UUUCCACAAAGUUUGACCUCAAAUCAGGUAGGAUUACCCGCUGAACUUAAGCAUAUCAAUAAGCGGAGGAAAAGAAACCAACAGGGAUUGCCUUAGUAGCGGCGAGUGAAGCGGCAAGAGCUCAAAUUUGAAAUCUGGCACUUUCAGUGUCCGAGUUGUAAUUUGAAGAAGGUAUUCUUGGACUUGGCCCCCGUCUAUGUUCCUUGGAACAGGACGUCACAGAGGGUGAGAAUCCCGUGCGAUGGGGAGUCCUUGUCUAUGUAAGAUUCCUUCGAAGAGUCGAGUUGUUUGGGAAUGCAGCUCUAAGUGGGUGGUAAAUUCCAUCUAAAGCUAAAUAUUGGCGAGAGACCGAUAGCGAACAAGUACAGUGAUGGAAAGAUGAAAAGAACUUUGAAAAGAGAGUGAAAAAGUACGUGAAAUUGUUGAAAGGGAAGGGCAUUAGAUCAGACUUGGCAUUUGGCAAUCGUUGCUCCUCGGGGUGGCGCUCUUGCCUUUUGCUGGGCCAGCAUCGGUUCGGACGGCAGGAUAAUGACAGUUGAAUGUGGCUUCGCUUCGGUGAAGUGUUAUAGCUUCUGUUGAUGCUGCCUGUCUGGACCGAGGAAUGCGUCUUUUGACUAGGAUGCUGGCAUAAUGAUCCAAUGCCGCCCGUCUUGAAACAUGGACCAAGGAGUCUAACGUCUAUGCGAGUGUUUGGGUGUAAAACCCGUACGCGUAAUGAAAGUGAACGUAGGUGAGGGCCCUCUUAUGGGUGCAUCAUCGACCGA
This 764-nucleotide ribosomal RNA is filed under the name Kuraishia cidri. Its description in RNAcentral is "LSU rRNA". It matches the Rfam family "Eukaryotic large subunit ribosomal RNA", at positions 1 to 768 of the family's 3401-position model. Lineage: Eukaryota; Fungi; Ascomycota; Pichiomycetes; Pichiales; Pichiaceae. The record is from RNAcentral.